Molecule: long non-coding RNA, 532 nt
Filed under: Gossypium raimondii (Peruvian cotton)
Lineage: Eukaryota; Viridiplantae; Streptophyta; Magnoliopsida; Malvales; Malvaceae
Description: long non-coding RNA (GRAI_LNC008909)
Source: RNAcentral
UUGUAGCCAGAGACAAAGAGGGUUUAGUUCUCUUAUCUUGUUCGGAGGUUCAUCAAAGGGUCUCCUCAGCUUUUGGAGCGGAAGCAAUGGCGUGCCGGAAAGCUCUCCAAAUCGGCGUUCACAAACAGUGGGAAAGAGUUAUUAUCGAAGGAGACUCUUUAUCAAUAAUAAAAAAGUGCAAAGCAAAAAGCCCAGAUAAAUCAAUGGUGAGUGCGUUUAUCCAUGACAUCCAUCAGCUUUCGUUUUAUUUUAAAGAAUGCAAGUUUGAGCAUAUCCCUAGAUCAACAAAUAGCCUAGCGCAUAUUUUAGCAACAGAAGCGAAUAAACGAAACAGAGGGGAUUACCUGGUCGGACGAGUCCCUGAUGGUGCAAAAUUUCAAGCAGAAAAUGAAAGGCUGAGAGAACCAGAUUGAAACGGGGAAAGGGAGAAUUGGAAGGAAGGAAAUGGUGAAGAGCAAAUAUCAAAGUGACUUUUCAAAGCUCUUGGGUGGUUCAAAACGUCUUGAAGAAGGAAAACAGGUGAAGAGACAGG